GGGGAGACUCUGCAGGGAUACAUCAUUCAGGGCCAAGUGGCCCAGGCUGCGCAGCUGCGUGAAACCUUCAGGAAGCCUGGAAAGGGGAUUCCCACUGAAGUCUGCGAUCUCCAAGGAUUUGCAGAAUUUGAUGCUUUCUGGGAUUUCUGGAAUGUCAUUGCGGGAGAUGUCCAGUUCCACCAGCUGCAUGAAGUUGGCCACCUCGGGGGGAAGUCUCUGGAUCUCAUUGUCACUCAGGCCCAGUUUACGGAGGUUCAAAAGCCUAAAGAAAGGCUUGGGCAGCUCGCGGAGCUGGUUGGCGUCCAGCAGCAGCUCCUCCAGCGAGCGGCUGUAGCGGUAGAUCUCCUCGGGCACGGCCUGCAGCGAGCAGUGCCGCCGGUCCAGCGCCUCCACGUGCCGGUUGCAGCGCCAGAGCGGCGGGACGCAGCGCAGCAUCGCGGCCCGGAUCGGUCCGGGGGCUCCGGGAGCGCCGCGCCGGGAAGGGCCGACCCGGG
This 494-nucleotide long non-coding RNA is filed under the name Gallus gallus (chicken). The record is from RNAcentral. Lineage: Eukaryota; Metazoa; Chordata; Aves; Galliformes; Phasianidae.